This 430-nucleotide long non-coding RNA is filed under the name Mustela putorius furo (domestic ferret). RNAcentral's name for it is "lncRNA (ENSMPUG00000030793.1)". The record is from RNAcentral. Lineage: Eukaryota; Metazoa; Chordata; Mammalia; Carnivora; Mustelidae.
ACUGAGCACCUCUGCCUUUGAUCUUGGUGGGAUCCUGGGUGCAGGCACCCAAAGAAUCAGGGAAGGAGGGACAGACAGAAGGAAGAAAGAGAGGACGGGAGGGCCCAGCACAGGACCUGGAACCUAGGAGCUUCUAUCACCCCACAGGUCAUAACCAGAAACAUCCGCAUCCAGGACAUAUGUGUCAGGCCUCAGAAAAAUGCUUCUGCACAAUUCCUGGCUGCUGUCCUUGAACAGAAGGUAGCUAAGCCUGAUCACCUUGGAGAUCUGUGGUUGCAACAUUGGAGACAGACACGAUUUCCAAAGAGCAGAAGGGAUUUAGCCAAGGAAAAAGACUGAGAAAGGGAAGAGAAAGACAGAUUGGUCAAUUUGUUAGAUCUUCAAGCAGCAUAACUACAACAGAAUCUUGCAAAGAGAAGCAUCAUUUCCC